UUGUAGGCUGAAACUCGCCUGCAUGAAGUCGGAAUUGCUAGUAAUCGCGGAUCAGCAUGCCGCGGUGAAUACGUUCCCGGGCCUUGUACACACCGCCCGUCACACCAUGAGAGCCGGUAACACCCGAAGUCAAUAGCCUAACCGCAAGGAGGGCAUUGCCGAAGGUGGGAUUGGUAAUUGGGGUGAAGUCGUAACAAGGUAAC
This 203-nucleotide ribosomal RNA is filed under the name uncultured bacterium. Its description in RNAcentral is "partial 16S ribosomal RNA". It matches the Rfam family "Bacterial small subunit ribosomal RNA", at positions 1298 to 1500 of the family's 1533-position model. The record is from RNAcentral.